GGUAAAGAAAUUCGAUCCCUACAUAUAUGCUGGAGAAUAUGGCUCCAGUGUUUCUACCCGGUACCGUAAACACCGGACUAUGCAGGGAAAGCAACUUUUG
Molecule: non-coding RNA, 100 nt
Filed under: Lysinibacillus odysseyi
Lineage: Bacteria; Bacillati; Bacillota; Bacilli; Caryophanales; Bacillaceae
Also listed under: 1 other name
Description: Guanine sequence
Rfam family: Purine riboswitch aptamer
About the family: Riboswitches are metabolite binding domains within certain messenger RNAs that serve as precision sensors for their corresponding targets. Allosteric rearrangement of mRNA structure is mediated by ligand binding, and this results in modulation of gene expression.
Source: RNAcentral